AAACUUGUAAUUUUAUAUAACAUGUAAAAUAACUUGCUAUCAGUAAUAUGAGAUAUCCACCCUCCCGCUCGGUAAUAUUUUCGAAAUAUUCUUGCACUAUUUGUAAUGUUACAUUACUGACCAGAUUAUAAACUGAAUGAACCAUACAAAGUAAUCCUAACAGAAUUGCAUAUAAUCUUGGCAGAAUAAUCCGAACUAAACACGUGCUCAUUAUUAUGCUAUUAGCUGCACAUCCCCUCUUUAUAGGUUGUUUUAUUUUAGGCUAAAAUACAGAAAAUUUUCUUUAAAUAUUUGCUCUUACACUUUACUCUCUUGUCCUCUAAAAAUAUUUAUUUUCUUUCUUAAAAAUUUAAACUUGUAGUCCUUACCCUUGCACUAUUACUAUUUU
RNAcentral lists this long non-coding RNA (388 nucleotides) under Ananas comosus (pineapple). RNAcentral's name for it is "long non-coding RNA (ACOM_LNC002417)". The record is from RNAcentral. Lineage: Eukaryota; Viridiplantae; Streptophyta; Magnoliopsida; Poales; Bromeliaceae.